CCCUUAGAUGUUCUGGGCCGCACGCGCGCUACACUGAUUCAUGCAACAAGUUUUGUCCUUGGCUGAUAGGCCUGGGUAAUCUUUGAACGUGAAUCGUGAUGGGGAUAGAUGAUUGCAAUUAUUCAUCUUCAACGAGGAAUUCCUAGUAAACGCAAGUCAUCAGCUUGCAUUGAUUACGUCCCUGCCCUUUGUACACACCGCCCGUCGUACCUACCGAUUGAAUGGUCCGGUGAAAUCUUCGGAUCUGAGAGAUGUCUGAUUAAUUUCGGACGCCUUUUGGAAAAGUUGUUUAAACCUUACCAUUUAGAGGAAGGUGAAGUCGUAACA
This 327-nucleotide ribosomal RNA is filed under the name uncultured eukaryote. RNAcentral's name for it is "partial 18S ribosomal RNA". It matches the Rfam family "Eukaryotic small subunit ribosomal RNA", at positions 1470 to 1796 of the family's 1831-position model. The record is from RNAcentral.